CUGGCCGGCGUGCUUAACACAUGCAAGUCGAACGAUGAAGCCUAGCUUGCUAGGUGGAUUAGUGGCGCACGGGUGAGUAAUAUAUAGGUAACGUGCCUCUUAGUCUGGGAUAGCCAUUGGAAACGAUGAUUAAUACUGGAUACUCCUUCUAACUCUAAUGUUAGUUGGGAAAGUUUUUCGCUAAGAGAUCGGCCUAUUUCCCAUCAGGUAGUUGGUAGUGUAAGAGACUACCAAGCCUAUGACGGGUAGCGGGUUUGAGAGGAUGAUCCGCCACACUGGUACUGAGACACGGACCAGACUCCUACGGGAGGCAGCAGUGAGGAAUAUUGCACAAUGGAGGAAACUCUGAUGCAGCAACGCCGCGUGGAGGAUGACGCAUUUCGGUGUGUAAACUCCUUUUAUAGGUCAAGAAAAUGACGGUAGCCUAUGAAUAAGCACCGGCUAACUCCGUGCCAGCAGCCGCGGUAAUACGGAGGGUGCAAGCGUUACUCGGAAUCACUGGGCGUAAAGCGCGCGCAGGCGGCUAUUUAAGUUGGAUGUGAAAGCCUACGGCUCAACCGUAGAACUGCAUCCAAAACUAUUUAGCUAGAGUGUGGGAGAGGAAGAUGGAAUUAGUUGUGUAGGGGUAAAAUCCGUAGAGAUAACUAGGAAUACCAAAAGCGAAGGCAAUCUUCUGGAACACUACUGACGCUGAGGCGCGAAAGCGUGGGGAGCAAACAGGAUUAGAUACCCUGGUAGUCCACGCAGUAAACGAUGAAUGUUAGUCGUCGGGAGGCUCGUNCUUUCGGUGAUGCAGCUAACGCAUUAAACAUUCCGCCUGGGGAGUACGGUCGCAAGAUUAAAACUCAAAGGAAUAGACGGGGACCCGCACAAGUGGUGGAGCAUGUGGUUUAAUUCGAAGAUACGCGAAGAACCUUACCUAGCCUUGACAUAUUUUAGAACUCCGUAGAGAUACAGAGGUGCCUUCGGGAGCUAAUUUACAGGUGCUGCACGGCUGUCGUCAGCUCGUGUCGUGAGAUGUUGGGCUAAGUCCCGCAACGAGCGCAACCCUCGUGACUAGUUACUAACGGUU
RNAcentral lists this ribosomal RNA (1072 nucleotides) under uncultured Campylobacterota bacterium. RNAcentral describes it as "bacterial SSU rRNA". It matches the Rfam family "Bacterial small subunit ribosomal RNA", at positions 36 to 1126 of the family's 1533-position model. The record is from RNAcentral. Lineage: Bacteria; Pseudomonadati; Campylobacterota.